Molecule: transfer RNA, 85 nt
Filed under: Alphaproteobacteria bacterium
Lineage: Bacteria; Pseudomonadati; Pseudomonadota; Alphaproteobacteria
Description: tRNA-Leu
Rfam family: tRNA
About the family: Transfer RNA (tRNA) molecules are approximately 80 nucleotides in length. Their secondary structure includes four short double-helical elements and three loops (D, anti-codon, and T loops). Further hydrogen bonds mediate the characteristic L-shaped molecular structure. tRNAs have two regions of fundamental functional importance: the anti-codon, which is responsible for specific mRNA codon recognition, and the 3' end, to which the tRNAs corresponding amino acid is attached (by aminoacyl-tRNA synthetases). tRNAs cope with the degeneracy of the genetic code in two manners: having more than one tRNA (with a specific anti-codon) for a particular amino acid; and 'wobble' base-pairing, i.e. permitting non-standard base-pairing at the 3rd anti-codon position.
Source: RNAcentral
GGGGAUAUGGUGAAAUAAGUAAACACGCUGGUCUCAAAAACCAGUGCCGCAAGGCUUCCCGGUUCGAUUCCGGGUAUCCCUACCA